Molecule: small nucleolar RNA, 126 nt
Filed under: Erinaceus europaeus (western European hedgehog)
Lineage: Eukaryota; Metazoa; Chordata; Mammalia; Eulipotyphla; Erinaceidae
Description: Small nucleolar RNA SNORA70
Rfam family: Small nucleolar RNA SNORA70
About the family: snoRNA U70 seems to be exclusive to mammals and is a member of the H/ACA class of snoRNA which contain H (ANANNA) and ACA box motifs.
Source: Rfam by way of RNAcentral
CUGUAUUACAAUCAGACGACACUGGCCUCCCCAUGGCGCCCGGCGUGCAGCGGCUACAAGCAGCAGCCUCCUGGGCAGUGCAGCCUGUUGCAUGUGUAGCUGCCCUAAGGGGCCCUGGAGACAGCC